Molecule: ribosomal RNA, 253 nt
Filed under: uncultured bacterium
Lineage: Bacteria
Description: partial 16S ribosomal RNA
Rfam family: Bacterial small subunit ribosomal RNA
Source: RNAcentral
GACGUAGGGCGCGAGCGUUGUCCGGAUUUAUUGGGCGUAAAGAGCUCGUAGGCGGCUUGUCGCGUCGACCGUGAAAACUUGGGGCUCAACCCCAAGCCUGCGGUCGAUACGGGCAGGCUCGAGUUCGGUAGGGGAGACUGGAAUUCCUGGUGUAGCGGUGAAAUGCGCAGAUAUCAGGAGGAACACCGAUGGCGAAGGCAGGUCUCUGGGCCGAUACUGACGCUGAGGAGCGAAGGCGUGGGGAGCGAACAGG